CCUACGGGUGGCAGCAGUGAGGAAUAUUGGUCAAUGGGCGCGAGCCUGAACCAGCCAAGUAGCGUGAAGGAUGAAUGCCCUACGGGUUGUAAACUUCUUUUGUCAGGGAAUAAAGUGAGGCACGUGUGCCCUUUUGUAUGUACUUUAUGAAUAAGCAUCGGCUAACUCCGUGCCAGCAGCCGCGGUAAUACGGAGGAUCCGAGCGUUAUCCGGAUUUAUUGGGUUUAAAGGGAGCGUAGAUGGGGUGUUAAGUCAGUUGUGAAAGUUUGCGGCUCAACCGUAAAAUUGCAAUUGAUACUGGCAGUCUUGAGUACAGUUGAGGUAGGCGGAAUUCGUGGUGUAGCGGUGAAAUGCAUAGAUAUCACGAAGAACUCCGAUUGCGAAGGCAGCUUACUAAACUGACACUGACAUUGAUGCUCGAAAGUGUGGGUAUCAAACAGGAUUAGAUACCCCUGUAGUC
This 460-nucleotide ribosomal RNA is filed under the name uncultured bacterium. RNAcentral's name for it is "partial 16S ribosomal RNA". It matches the Rfam family "Bacterial small subunit ribosomal RNA", at positions 338 to 795 of the family's 1533-position model. The record is from RNAcentral.